CAUUCUGCGCGCUGUGGAUGUUAUAAUCAGCUAAUUCUCAUAAGCAGAACUGGAUAACCGAUAUCAUCAUUGUACAUUCAGAGCACUGUGGGA
RNAcentral lists this small RNA (93 nucleotides) under Spisula solidissima (Atlantic surf clam). The record is from RNAcentral. Lineage: Eukaryota; Metazoa; Mollusca; Bivalvia; Venerida; Mactridae.